UUGAAUUCAUUAUCUAAACCUAAUCUCAAUUUUAUCUCUAUUAUUUUUUCUUAUUUAAACGAAUUUAGUUCUAUUAAAAAUAUUUUUUUGGUUCAUUCGGAUACUCUUAGGUACUGUAUGUCUUUUACAAAAAAAAAAAAAAAAAAAAAAAAAAAAAAAAAAAAAUCUAGUAAUUCGGAUACUUUGAGAAAUAUCAAAUUAAAUUUUAUUGAGUAGAUUUAUAUCCGGCUAAUUUUGGGUAUUUUGCCUAAAUUGAAUUACACUAUUUAAC
Molecule: long non-coding RNA, 271 nt
Filed under: Capsella rubella
Lineage: Eukaryota; Viridiplantae; Streptophyta; Magnoliopsida; Brassicales; Brassicaceae
Description: long non-coding RNA (CRUB_LNC000746)
Source: RNAcentral